RNAcentral lists this unclassified non-coding RNA (140 nucleotides) under uncultured Ascomycota. Its description in RNAcentral is "sequence contains ITS2". The record is from RNAcentral. Lineage: Eukaryota; Fungi; Ascomycota.
CAACCCUCAAGCUCCGCUUGGUAUUGGGCAUCAUCGGCAACGAUGUGUCUUAAAGUCAGUGGUGAUGCUGCCUGGCUCUAAGCGUAGUAGAUUCCUCGCUAUAGAUGUCGGGGGACACUCGUCAUACCUUCAAUUUUUAC